UCCGAGAUGGUCUAGUGGUCAUGAUUUCCGCUUGUCACUGGUUGAACCACAGUUUGACAGAACAAGCGCGGGAGACCGGGGUUCGAUUCCCCGUCUCGGAG
This is a non-coding RNA of Ascosphaera acerosa, 101 nucleotides long. The record is from the annotation of a GenBank genome assembly. Lineage: Eukaryota; Fungi; Ascomycota; Eurotiomycetes; Onygenales; Ascosphaeraceae.